Peromyscus maniculatus bairdii (prairie deer mouse) is the source of this 323-nucleotide long non-coding RNA. RefSeq lists it as uncharacterized. NCBI's taxonomy places the organism in Eukaryota, Metazoa, Chordata, Mammalia, Rodentia, Cricetidae. The record is from RefSeq and is a predicted model, not a curated record.
UGCAGUGCGGGGGAUGGAACCUACAGCCUCAUGCAUGCAUCCUAGACAAGCACGCUACCAACUGAGCUGCCGCUGCAGCCCCUACAAAUGGUGUGUGAAGGAAUGAUUCUAGCAUUAGAAAAUUGCUUUGGAACAUUAGAGAGAGCUCUUGGUUUCCUUGCUAUCACCUGAAGGCCCCCUUUGGAGCAGAAAGCUGUCAGAUUGAGAGGCCUGGAAGAUUCUUGAACUGCCAUGAUCUUCAGCCCACUUCAGGAGGUAAAGAAGCUGGGUUCUGAUGCUGGUGGAGAGUGGCAGCAGAGGCAGCAGAGACAGGAUAAAUGCAA